Pelobates cultripes (western spadefoot toad) is the source of this 266-nucleotide non-coding RNA. NCBI's taxonomy places the organism in Eukaryota, Metazoa, Chordata, Amphibia, Anura, Pelobatidae. The record is from the annotation of a GenBank genome assembly.
CAUAUUGAUAAAUAUGGAGAGUAAAGCCACAUCUAAAAAGAAAGGUGGUGCUCAGAAAAUACGAGAAAAACGGUCCAAAGAACUUGAGUUAGCAGUUAGGGAUCCUAAGCAAAUGAAACUAUCUUUUUCGGUGGUAUGUUAAAAGUUCAAAAGUUAAGGCCGGUUGUUACAUUUUAUGUCACAGAAAUGUAUAUUCACUCUUUGAUAACAAGAAUGAAUAUAUCUAGUCUGUUUGCAUGUGCAUGAUGAAGUUUGUUAAGAUUCAU